RNA transcript from Pongo pygmaeus (Bornean orangutan), 9881 nucleotides. It is a transcript of the gene named actin binding LIM protein 1, with no coding region annotated. The transcript is spliced from 22 exons. The record is from RefSeq and is a predicted model, not a curated record. NCBI's taxonomy places the organism in Eukaryota, Metazoa, Chordata, Mammalia, Primates, Hominidae.
GACUGUGGGAGGGGACCAGCGUUCGGGAGCCUUUCAUAGCCCGUCCUCGGUGCAAGGAAUACAAGGUGGUGUCAGUGACCAGAGAUUAGGACAGUGGAAUUUUGCAUUUGUUACAGCAGCAGCUGUAGCGAGUGGUUUCAGCCGCAGGGCAGAGUCCGCGAGCAGGGCGCGGCUGCAGCUCGGCAGGCGGGCGGAGAAGAGCGCGGGGGCGAUCGCGGGGCGGGCGUGGGAGCGGGGCCCGCCGAGGCGGGGCGGGACUCGAGACCACAGCCCCGGACCUCACAAGCGGAUGCCGGGGCUUCUCCUGGCUGCCCCAGCGCCCGCGGAUCUGUCUGCCGAGGCGCGCUUCCACUCCCAGAGUUUAUUCCUCGUUCCUUCUUCAGUCCUGCUCGUCGGAGGACCCGGUUGCCAUGGUGAAGGAAAAAGUGGCCCACCCUCAGGACCCUCACCACCCAUCAGAGAAGCCUGUCAUUCACUGCCAUAAAUGUGGGGAGCCUUGCAAGGGUGAAGUGCUUCGGGUCCAGACCAAACAUUUCCACAUCAAGUGUUUCACCUGCAAAGUGUGUGGCUGUGACCUGGCACAAGGGGGCUUCUUCAUAAAGAACGGAGAGUAUCUCUGCACCCUGGACUACCAGCGGAUGUACGGGACACGCUGCCAUGGCUGUGGGGAGUUCGUGGAGGGCGAAGUGGUGACCGCUCUGGGCAAGACCUACCAUCCCAAUUGCUUUGCUUGUACUAUCUGCAAGCGCCCGUUUCCACCCGGAGACCGAGUCACAUUCAAUGGGAGAGACUGCCUUUGUCAACUCUGUGCACAGCCGAUGUCGUCCAGUCCAAAAGAAACCACCUUCUCCAGCAAUUGUGCCGGCUGCGGAAGAGAUAUCAAGAAUGGGCAGGCACUGCUGGCACUGGAUAAGCAGUGGCACUUGGGGUGCUUUAAAUGCAAGUCCUGCGGGAAGGUCCUCACCGGGGAGUACAUCAGCAAGGAUGGUGCCCCGUACUGUGAAAAGGACUACCAGGGACUCUUUGGGGUGAAAUGUGAGGCAUGUCACCAGUUUAUCACAGGGAAAGUCCUGGAGGCAGGUGACAAACAUUACCACCCCAGCUGUGCACGAUGCAGCAGAUGCAACCAGAUGUUCACAGAAGGAGAGGAAAUGUAUCUUCAAGGCUCCACCGUUUGGCAUCCCGACUGUAAGCAAUCUACGAAGACCGAGGAAAAGCUGCGGCCGCCAAACAUUCGGCGUUCUUCAUCUGAUUUCUUUUAUCCCAAAAGUCUGAUUCGACGCACAGGACGGUCUCCGUCUCUGCAGCCUACCAGGACAUCCUCGGAAAGUAUUUAUUCUAGACCAGGCUCCAGUAUUCCUGGCUCACCAGGUCAUACUAUCUAUGCAAAAGUAGACAAUGAGAUCCUGGAUUACAAGGAUUUAGCAGCCAUUCCCAAGGUCAAGGCAAUUUAUGACAUUGAACGUCCAGAUCUUAUUACCUAUGAGCCUUUCUACACUUCGGGUUAUGAUGACAAACAGGAGAGACAGAGCCUCGGAGAGUCUCCGAGGACUUUGUCGCCUACUCCAUCAGCAGAAGGGUACCAGGAUGUUCGGGAUCGGAUGAUCCAACGGUCCACGAGCCAGGGCUCCAUCAACUCCCCUGUGUACAGCCGCCACAGCUACACUCCAACCACGUCGCGCUCUCCCCAGCAUUUCCACAGACCUGGCAAUGAGCCGUCCAGCGGCCGGAACUCCCCUCUCCCUUACCGGCCAGACAGCCGCCCUCUAACUCCAACUUACGCUCAGGCCCCUAAACAUUUCCAUGUUCCAGAUCAAGGAAUCAACAUUUACCGAAAACCACCCAUCUACAAACAGCAUGAUGCAGCUGCCUUGGCAGCCCAGAGCAAGUCCUCAGAAGAUAUCAUCAAGUUUUCCAAGUUCCCAGCAGCCCAGGCACCAGACCCCAGCGAGACACCAAAGAUUGAGACGGACCACUGGCCUGGUCCCCCCUCAUUUGCUGCCGUAGGACCUGACAUGAAACGCAGAUCUAGUGGCAGAGAGGAAGAUGAUGAGGAACUUCUGAGACGCCGGCAGCUUCAAGAAGAGCAAUUAAUGAAGCUUAACUCAGGCCUGGGACAGUUGAUAUUGAAAGAAGAGAUGGAGAAAGAGAGCCGGGAAAGGUCAUCUCUGUUAGCCAGUCGCUAUGAUUCGCCCAUCAACUCAGCUUCACAUAUUCCAUCAUCUAAAACUGCAUCUCUCCCUGGCUAUGGAAGAAAUGGGCUUCACCGGCCUGUUUCUACCGACUUCGCUCAGUAUAACAGCUAUGGGGAUGUCAGCGGGGGAGUGCGAGAUUACCAGGUACGGAACACUUUGUCUUUCUUGAAUUGGCCACGCCAGCAGAACAGCCAUGUUCCAACACAGACUGCUGGCUCCAAGGCAACAGCUUCUGUUGAGAAGAUACUUGUUGUGGUUGAUCUGUCUAGUCAUUACUCUAUAGCCGUGAAGAGCAGGCAUGCCUGGUGCCUGGGUCAAGCUGUCCCUGCAGACCUUGGGGACACUGUGUGAACCAGGCCAGGUAUAGGGGGUCUCUCUUGCUUUGGCCUUGGAGAGUCCUCUCUGGGGUGGAAGUGGACCAGCAUCAAGGGUCUGCUCAUAUACAGUUUUUCUUCUUUUAAUUAUAAUCUCUCAGUACUUUAGGCCACCCUUUUCCUGCGUGUUCUCAAAUGAAAAGACACUGAUGUCUUAGCCAAUAGGAGAGAGCAGUUUGCCCUCAUGACAUUCCUUUCUCACUAGAACCUAAAUCUUGUUUAAAAAAAGAAAGAAAUGUGAUGGAGAAUAAGAAAAGAAGAAAAAUGCAUAGAAAAUCAUGAUUAAAGAUAAGAAACUAACAAUAAUAGAUUUGGGCAUCUUUUAAAGGUAUUAUAUACUUUCAUUCAUGGAGCCUAAUUCAGGAAUUUGUCCAUAGCCAUUAAGUCAAGAUCUCUCCCCAACUUGAUUGCAAAAGAGCUGUAUUCCUGUUCUUAUACAGCAAGGAUCUCAUUUUGAAAAAUACAUGGUCAUUUAGAUGACACAAAUAAAAUAGUGGUUAGGAUUGGAGACCCAACAGGGAGUUGGGAGCCCAAGAGUACUCCCUUCAGUUCCCUAGACUAUUUCAUGCCUCACCUAGAACUGGCAUUUCUAUUGCAGACGCUCCCAGAUGGCCACAUGCCUGCAAUGAGAAUGGACCGAGGAGUGUCUAUGCCCAACAUGUUGGAACCAAAGGCAAGUGCAGCUGUUCUUUUUCCUCUCAUAUGGGAAUGAUGUAACCCUAAAGAGAUUUGAUGUUCUAUCUUCUCAUCAUUCUCAAAGUGUUAUAGGCUGCUGUGUUCAGGUGAGCCAUGUCAUGAAUAUGCACCUUGCCAUUCUGCUGUUUUGCCCACAUCAGGUCAGCAGGUUAAACCCUUACUGGGCAUGAUGCUGUGUGUUUACAGUGAGGUGCCAGUCCCUCUCUGCCUAUGACCGAGGUAUCCCCUUGGCCUCUGCUAUGUGCGUUACAGAGCAUAUCCAGUACUGAGUGGAGUGGCUGCAGACUCACCAUGUAGGGUGACCAACAUAUCCAAGUUUGCCAGAAUUGUCCCUGUUUCACCAUUGAAAGUCCUACAUUUCAAAAACCUCAGUCCUGGGCACACUGGGGUGCCUGGCCACCCUACCUCCAGAGCACCCUGUACCUUCAGAGUUGUCCAAGGGCUCAUGCUCCCCGGUGACCAUAACCAGGGCUUAUUUCAAUAUGGCAGUUGCCAGAGCACUGCUUCUGGGCCUGCCUGGCCCCAUAGAUUCAUGAGCUAGUCAUGGGACAAGAUUGUUAACCCCAGCACAAAUGCACCCUGCCCUAUAACAGCAUCGUAUAAAAGGUAACACGUUGGCUGGGCACAGUGGCUCACGCCUGUAAUCCCAGCACUUUGGAAGGCCAAGGCGGGUAGAUUGCUUGAGUUCAGGAAUUUAAGACCAGCCUGAGCAACAUGGCAAAAUCCCAUCUCUACUAAAACUAUAAAAAAAUUGCUGGACAUGAUGACAUGUGCCUAUAGUCCCAGCUACUCGGGAGGCUAACAUAGGAGGAUCACCUGGGCCUAAUAGGUUGAGGCUGCAGUGAGCUGUGAUCCCACCACUGCAUCCAGCCUGGGCAACAGAGCAAGCCCUGUCUUUAAAAAAAAAAAAAAAACCAACAGAGCAAGCCCUGUCUUAAAAAAAAAAAAAAAAAAACCACAUGCCUGUAAUUUCCAUUAUCUUCUAAUGUUUACCUUCAUCCCAACACAUAGUAAGUUAGUGUUCUGCCACUCAACAAAGGCCCCCUAAGGCUCAGUGCCACCUGAGAUGCUGGUGGAGAGUUGAGCAUGUCUAAGAUUCUGUCCCUGUCCCCUGAAAACUGGAGAUUCCACUGGCCUUGCAGAAGGAAGACCCAUCACUCGGAUUCUGUCAUGACAGUCUCUUGGAAGCUCUAUCUUGGGAGUACUAGAGUUUAGGUGGAUUCUGCUUGUUAAUAAAAUGGACUGUGGUGUUCUAGAAGAGGUGUUUUCUUUCUUCUCAGAUAUUUCCGUAUGAAAUGCUCAUGGUGACCAACAGAGGGCGAAACAAAAUCCUAAGAGAGGUGGACAGAACCAGGCUGGAGCGCCACUUAGCCCCUGAAGUGUUUCGGGAAAUCUUUGGAAUGUCCAUACAGGAGUUUGACAGGUUACCUCUUUGGAGACGCAACGACAUGAAGAAAAAAGCAAAACUCUUCUAAGUCCCACUCGUGAAUGGCAAUUAGAGAAAGGACUGACAGUGGCGGUGCCCCAUAGGAUGUCAUAUUGCGGCCCAAACUUGAUUGGAGAAUUUGCAAACUACCGUCGCUCAGCAACACCAAAAAGAGAAAGUCUGGUUAAAACACCCAUGAGUCAAAUGUUGGGCCAGCCAACAGUAACACUUGCCAAGAAGCAUGGCGUAGAAAUUUCUAUGUUCCGAAACACAGAGUAGUGUCCACAUGUGACCUUUUCACAUUACCUUAUGUAUACAACAGGAGCUGCGUUGUUUUCUUCUUUUUUUUUUUCCUUUAUCUGUUGUCCAACAACAGUGCUGACUGUCCGGAUAAGAGCCAGCAAGUGCCCUUAGGAUGCCGCAUGGGAAAAAUCGGUUAUCAUAAUUUCAAAGUAUAAAUAUAUUUAUUAUAUAGCUCUGCGGCUAAGAAGGAAGAGUGAGGGGUCUGUCCAUGGGGUGGCAGUGAUUUCACAGCUGCCUUUCUUGAAUGGCUUCGUGUUACUCAGCCGUGCCCUGGCAGGAAUGGAACUCCAUCAGGGAACAGGGCAGCUCUGUUUGAAUGGGGUGAAUAACAGCAAAAUUAAUUCUUAACAAGCUCCUUGUUCUCUACUGUUCACCGGGACCUGAUUGGCAAAUGACUUAGCUAUUAGUAUAUUUAAAAACUGUUCAAAAGCAAAAGAGAAGGAACAGGAAUGAAAGGGAGCCUUCCCUUAACCCUUUCUGCUUCCCAUAGCAGGUGUGGUUCCUGCUCCCCGCCUAGGACAGGAGCUGUCUGGAGCUCCACCUUUGCAAAGAAAGGAAAAACACAAAUUGCCUCCAGAUUGGCCCAGUGGCAUGCCAUUAGGUGAUUUUGUGUAGGGGCCAUAUCACUCAUGGCCAAAAAAAACCAAAAACCAAAAACAAGUCCCAUGUCCUACUGACUCUAGUUCUUCCAGUCGUUAUCCUCUGCUGUGUCUCUGGCAUCCUAUGAAUCAGAUCAAGCCCAUGCUGUUGUUGCUUUUUAAGGUUUCUUUCAAUAACAGGCUAAGGAAAGACAUGUUUUUCUCUUUUAAAUCUCUGCAACUCCAAAGUAGACUCCUUCAAACGCAUCUAAUUUGGCCUUUUCAGCUUUCUUCUUGCCCAGCUCUGUCGAAUUCAUGGGUGUGUGUGCACGUGUUGGUUUCACUCACCCAGAGUAAUUUUGUGAGCAUGCAUGUGCUUUUUAAUUUCUGCUUGAAUGUUUGUCCCACUGUGUUGCAGCUUCUAAAGACAUUUUCACCGAGUGUGUGUGACUCAAAGACCAAGAGUGAAGCUAAACUGCGCCCCCAACAUCAUUUCCUUCAUGGAAAGGUGUUGGCGCUGAUGUAGCUCAUGGCAGGAUCAGACUGGGAACCACGGAGGAAGGAUGAGGUGGGAUGUGGAGGUCAGAGCAUCUCACGAGAGGCCCUCAGACUCUGCAACACUAGAUUCGAAUUUGAGCCUAGGGUUUCCCCAACCCAUGCGUGCAUAUGAAACCACAUCAUGAUUCCCGAUGUGAGUUAGUUGAGGGAGAGUUUGUGUAACUCCACACCCAGGAGGGUAAGCCACUUUAUUAUCGUGCUUUGGGGCUGUGCUUAAGAAUUUAAGCUCUGUUUUAAAGCCAAAGAAGAAAACAUUUGAAUUUACCUUCGUAUGCCACUAAGAACAAAAGCUCUGAAGUGCUUCCUGCUGGCACCAAAUAUUAGGAUUACAAGCUGUCCCUCUGACACCAGUGGUAAAAAAGCAAGUAGAAUAGUUUCUGAGUCUGUGUUGCAGCCUCUGACAUGUGGUUCACUGCUGUCAUUUGGGGGCUGGAAUGAACAGUCGCUGUUUUAUAGCAUCCUCCUGUGCUCUUACCUAAGGAAUCUAAAUUGUCCUAGCCUCUCAUUGCUAUGCACUGAAUGUUUGAGGACUAUUCUCGUGUGUGUGUGUGUGUGUGUGUGUGUGUGUGUGUGUUGGAUCUACUAACGUAUUUAGCAAAUGGCUCUGACAGGGUGGCCAUGAGUAGAUGAGACCAGCUCUUGCUUGGUUGGAAGCCACACUGCAGUUUGCAGUUUAGCCUUUGGUGUCUCAGUGGCUUCUUGCUUAUUCCAUGCUUUUUCUGUCCCAUCCUCUCUCUGUGCCCUCCUGCAAUGGCAGCCUUGGCACGAUGCCUGGGUGUCCUCGUCCUUGCUUUACUCCGGAAAGUGUGGGGAUGGAGAGGAUGGUGUAUUUCCAAUGUUUCCUUACCUGUCAAUAACAAUGGUGGCCACAUGGGUCCCAGCACUUGGCUGGUGGAGAGAUUUUUUUCAUUAUGGAGCUAAUAAAGGGUCCCCAUGUUUUACAUUGAUUAAUGAAUUAUCACCCAGACAUGUGCAGAUCAAAUGUCAAUAUAAGAAAAAUCAAGGUAUUUGGGAAACAUGGGCAUAAUCAAGUAGUUUUGCUAAAAUUCCUCUUCCUUGGUCUACAUAAAGAAGACAUGGGUCUGUCAUAGAAUGGGGACAUUAGACUGAAAACUGGGACAACCCCCUUCUUUAUUUUAUAGAGACUAGGAGUUAAGGGGCCUGCCUAAGAUUGCAAUGAUAAAGAACUGAACCCUAAAUCACCUCCCACUAAUGAAACCCUGCUUUGCUUGUAUCUUUUAAACUCAGUUCUGCAUCCAACUUGAGAAGAAAAAAAGUUUCUUUCCAUAUCAAGUCCCAUAUGAGUUCAUUUAAACUGCACCUUGCAGAAAUGCAUCGCCAGAAAGCACCAGUAGCCUCCUAUCUGCAAGCAGAGUAGUGCUCUGCUCUGGGGAAGGGUCAUUGGAAACCAUAAUGCAGAGUGGGCCCCCUACUCCAUUUCCCAGCAGAAGGCUCCAGCUGGAGGGAUGGGUCAUGGGGCAACCUGGUUCCUGCUAACUGCCAGAUCAAAUAUGUGGGCUAGAAUGCCUGUCCAUUUAGUUAAACUGGGCUCAGCAUGCUUGUCCUCAAAAUGUCCAUCCAGGUCACAGCACACAAGAUAGCUAUUGGUCUGCUUUCACCUCACCCUGUACUACACAUAAAAAUUCCAGUUAUUAACACACUCAAACUAGUGGAGCUUGUUCACCCUAGGAAGGGGAUUGUAUAUAUGGCAGGCUUCCCUGGUGCCUACGUAAAGGGCUACAUUUUGGAAUGUUUGACUUCCUUGGGACUCUUAAGUGCAUACUGAUGGCAUGAAGUAAAAGGGGCCUCUAUGAUGAUAGGAAAAUCAGUUCUUUUAAAAUUUCUUCAAGAAAAUCCAGGCUAUCACAUAGUCCUUCUGUGUGACUUAUUAGGAGAUAGGAAGAGCAUUGGGAAACUUGCACAGCUAGCUAUGCAUCUACAUUUUGGCUGGGGUUAGUUAUGAAAUGUUCUUAAUAUGACAUGUUCAAUAACUUCACAUAAACUGCCUGUUCUCCGAAACCUCAAAGAGAUAGAGUUAAUGAGUUUUUUUUUUUGUUUGUUUGUUUUUUAAUGGGGGUAGUUUUCUAUCUGUCAUGGGCUCUAGCAUCUACUCCGCUACCCAAUUCUGUCAUCUCCAAGCCGAGUUUCCUCUUCUGAGGCAGAGGCUGGAGCAGUUCUUUUUCAGUUCUCAUCCUCUCCAUCCCAAUCCAGUAUAUCAAUCAACUCUAACUCGGAGACGUCUAGCUGGUAAUGUUUCUAAAACUUUCACUGGAUUUCUUUAGACAUUGAAGCAAACAUUUUUUUCUAAGAAUUGCUUCUCAGAUGAUGAUAUCAAAUGUAUAUGCUUUUGCAAGUUUGAAAAAUUCAAAUUAACCGCUUUUGACUAGGUAAGUCUUUCUAAAAACCAUUUAAAGCUAACUGGGUCUUAGCAUCCUCCUGUGUAUGGAAGAGACAGGUGACCGCUCCAGGUUGGGUGCUCACAGAACCCUUUUCCUGACUCUCAUGGAAGAUGGUGGAAGGAAAAUAGACUGUCUCAUCAACCCUCCUGUGUCCUCUGAAGCAAUCUCAGUUUCUAUAUACCACCUCUUCUGUGUUUCUGGUAGCUAUUUAAUCUGUAUUUAAUCUGUACUUCUUAUGCCAGCCUCAAUUUUAUUUGAUUUUUAAAAUUAUUCUCUUCUAACCAAUGAAGUGUUUGACAGUAUGCCCCAAAGCUUGCUCUUUUGUGCUCCUUUUUGAAUAACUUUCUAUCCAGAAAAAGAAAUUAUUUGGGACUUGAGAUUUGCAGUGAUACCAACUUAUAGCAAUGAUGUACUUUAAGGGAACUACCCAACUAUGUUGUGAUAGGAGAAAGAGAAACCUUCACUUUGGCAUUUUCUUAAAUCACUGUUUAUUUUUCCGUUUGCUGCCCAGGAAGCAGUGGGAGGUGGUGGCAGAUAUGCUUUGCAUAUGGAUUGUUAUGUUUUUAUUUGGGCAAGUUUAAUCAUGGAAAACUCAAAAAGAAGGGGGGAAAUGGUCAGUUUAAGCCAAAAGAAACUUUCUAAACAAUGUAUAUGUACACAGCAAAAUUAAACAAAUCCAACAAUUUCUGAAGCUUAGUGUAAUUGAGUGGUGGUUGUUAUUCAAUAAAAUUAUUCCCAAAAGUGUUUCUCCUAAGAGUGCUGUUCCCAUGAGUCACUUCCUGAACCCAUUGACCAAAGGUGGACAGAGACAAUCCUGUAGACCUUGACAUUCAGAAAGAUGUGAGCUGCUUACUGAUCAUAUAUGCAUACGUUUCUUUACAGCAGAGGAAACCAUUGUCCACAAAACUGAUGUUCUUUUGGGGUUUUAUGUACAGACUUGUCCAAUCAUGUGUGUGGUUCCUGUGAGUUGCUGAUGACUCUGCAUUGAAGCUCUCUGAGUUCUUUCAUUUUAAGUUGGGUUUAUGGAAUUUUUUCAAAUGUUGGAAGGCAUAUGGUGCUUCCUGCCCUCCCUCCCCUUUUGGAAAUAUGAAAGCAAAUGUUUAGAAGAAUUCCUUUUGAAAAGCUGUGUUGUGUUCCCUGUGAAACUGAGCAGGUGUGUGUUGGCGCGCUAAGUGCCACGUGCUUGUGUGCAGAGGAGGAGGUGGCCCUGCCGGCUCCGUGCUGCUGUGCCUGUGAUCCCUACCUGCUCCCCGCUCCUGUUGCCAGCAGCACUCACUGCACUCCUUUGUCAAAUACUCUGCAUCACUGUCAUACUCACAACUUCGUGAAUAAAGUUGUGUGCUUUAUUCGUA